This 272-nucleotide ribosomal RNA is filed under the name uncultured Rhodobacterales bacterium. RNAcentral describes it as "partial 16S ribosomal RNA". It matches the Rfam family "Bacterial small subunit ribosomal RNA", at positions 505 to 776 of the family's 1533-position model. The record is from RNAcentral. Lineage: Bacteria; Pseudomonadati; Pseudomonadota; Alphaproteobacteria; Rhodobacterales.
GUGCCAGCCGCCGCGGUAAUACGGAGGGGGCUAGCGUUGUUCGGAAUUACUGGGCGUAAAGCGCACGUAGGCGGAUCAGAAAGUUGGGGGUGAAAUCCCGGGGCUCAACCUCGGAACUGCCUUCAAAACUAUUGGUCUUGAGUUCGAGAGAGGUGAGUGGAAUUCCGAGUGUAGAGGUGAAAUUCGUAGAUAUUCGGAGGAACACCAGUGGCGAAGGCGGCUCACUGGCUCGAUACUGACGCUGAGGUGCGAAAGCGUGGGGAGCAAACAGG